This 1035-nucleotide long non-coding RNA is filed under the name Heterocephalus glaber (naked mole-rat). RNAcentral describes it as "lncRNA (ENSHGLG00000037816.1)". The record is from RNAcentral. Lineage: Eukaryota; Metazoa; Chordata; Mammalia; Rodentia; Bathyergidae.
GGGCAUCUGCCCACACAGAUUGCUUGCUAGAGGCUGUAGGCAGGAGGCCUCAGUGUCUCACCAUACAGAGAUCUCCACACAGCUGCUUGCUCAUCCUCUUGACAUGGCAGCUGACUUCCCCCAGAGCAAGUGACCCCUGAAAGCAAGACAAAGCUGGAAGCAUCUUUUAUCACCUAGCCUCAGAAGCUACUCUCUGUUACUUGUGCAACGUUCCAUUCUGCUGAGGAUACAAAUCAGCCCAACUCAGUGUGGAAGAGGACAUAUAUCAGCGGUCUACCACAAUGGCUUACUCAUUCAUUCUAUGAAGGGCUUUGGGGUUUUGAGUGUCUAAUUAAGUAUUAGAGCCUGGUGGUACCACAGUGGAGUCAUACCCAUAAGAAGAUGAGGUCCCUCUGCUCCUGGAGAUCAACUUCCAGAAGAGGAGUAGAGAGACCCUAUAAAGAAGUCUCUACCUGUUAGACUAUAAACUCUACUGGGACAGGGAUUUUAUCCCAAGGGCCUAGAACAGUGCUGGACACACAGCAGAUGUUCAAUAACUUUUUUUUUUGAUUGAGUCAAUUUGCUCUCUAAUUUUUCCACUGGCAGAAAGGAGAAAAAGCAAAAGGUACAGUGUUGAACAUACUGUUUUCUUGUAAGAGCAUAAACUGGAAGUUGAAAUAUCAUAUCCACUCACAUCCCAGUAGCUAGAAUUCCUCACAUGGUCAUAUCUGCCUGCAAAGGUUGCUGGGAAAGGGAAUAUUUGUUCUGGAUACUAUGAGACCAGCUGGAUUCUGCAAAUCCGCUACUAAAGACAAAAGGGGAGAACGAUCUUUGGAAGAAAAACCAUUGCUGUCUGUUCAAAAUGAUGAUUGAAUAAAGACAUUGUAUUUCUAACAAGCUCUUGGGUGAUCCCAACACAGUAGGGACAGGGGCCCUGAAAAAACAAAGCAAUCACACCUGUUUAAGUCAAAAUUCAAAGUUAAAAUAUUCAAAUUCAUUUCAUAGGUAAAAAAGCUGAGAACUCGAAAGGUCAAGUGACUUGUACCAAGUGACAGG